UUGUGUUUUUUUUUUGUUUUUUUUCUAUUUCAGUUACUUUAAUAAAUUUAUAUAUUUUUUUUUUCUUUCAUAUGUCUAAUCUCUUCGCAGUGCCAUACAGAAAACUGUAAUUUAACCCCAUAAGGACACAUGGCAUGUGUGACAUGUCAUGAUUCCCUUUUAUUCCAGAUGUUUGGUCCUUAAGGAACACUAUAGAGUUAUGAAUACAAACGUAUUUCUAACGC
Pelobates cultripes (western spadefoot toad) is the source of this 224-nucleotide non-coding RNA. The record is from the annotation of a GenBank genome assembly. Lineage: Eukaryota; Metazoa; Chordata; Amphibia; Anura; Pelobatidae.